Molecule: unclassified non-coding RNA, 378 nt
Filed under: plant metagenome
Description: partial contains 5.8S ribosomal RNA, internal transcribed spacer 2, and large subunit ribosomal RNA
Rfam family: 5.8S ribosomal RNA (bases 1-105)
Source: RNAcentral
GAAACGCGAUAGUUAAUGUGAAUUGCAGAAUUCAGUGAAUCAUCGAAUCUUUGAACGCACCUUGCGCUCCUUGGUAUUCCUUGGAGCAUGCCUGUUUGAGUAUCAUGAAAUCUUCAAAGUAAAUCUUUUGUUAACUCAAUUGGUUUCUACUUUGGUAUUGGAGGUCUUUGCAGCUUCACACCUGCUCCUCUUUGUUCAUUAGCUGGAUCUCAGUGUUAUGCUUGGUUCCACUCGGCGUGAUAAGUUAUCUAUCGCUGAGGACACUGUAAAAGGUGGCCAAGGUAAAUGCAGAUGAACCGCUUCUAAUAGUCCAUUGACUUGGACAAUACUUUUAUGAUCUGAUCUCAAAUCAGGUAGGACUACCCGCUGAACUUAAGC